Peromyscus eremicus (cactus mouse) is the source of this 220-nucleotide long non-coding RNA. RefSeq lists it as uncharacterized. The transcript is spliced from 2 exons. NCBI's taxonomy places the organism in Eukaryota, Metazoa, Chordata, Mammalia, Rodentia, Cricetidae. The record is from RefSeq and is a predicted model, not a curated record.
AGCUGGCCUAAGCUUGGACCACCUUCCUGAAACUGAGUGGAAGUCAGUUCAUCACCUGGGCUGCUGGGUCCUCUAGUGUGGCACCAGUGACAUGAUGGCCUCACACUGAAAUAAACUUGACUUCUGAUGCAAUGAGGCAAUCUUUGGGACUGGCACAGGACGUCGAGGACUAUGAUUCAUGCCUGCUGCACAUAUUACAAUAAAGUCCUUUUCUUCAGGA